Molecule: ribosomal RNA, 433 nt
Filed under: uncultured bacterium
Lineage: Bacteria
Description: partial 16S ribosomal RNA
Rfam family: Bacterial small subunit ribosomal RNA
Source: RNAcentral
AACGAACGCUGGCGGCAGGCUUAACACAUGCAAGUCGAGCGCAUCCUUCGGGGUGAGCGGCGGACGGGUGAGUAACGCGUGGGAACGUGCCCUCUUCUACGGAAUAGCCUCGGGAAACUGAGAGUAAUGCCGUAUACGCCCGCAAGGGGAAAGAUUUAUCGGAGGAGGAUCGGCCCGCGUUGGAUUAGGUAGUUGGUGGGGUAACGGCCUACCAAGCCGACGAUCCAUAGCUGGUUUGAGAGGAUGAUCAGCCACACUGGGACUGGGACACGGCCCAGACUCCUACGGGAGGCAGCAGUGGGGAAUCUUGGACAAUGGGGGCAACCCUGAUCCAGCCAUGCCGCGUGAGCGAUGAAGGCCUUAGGGUUGUAAAGAUCUUUCAGCUGGGAAGAUAAUGACGGUACCAGCAGAAGAAGCCCCGGCUAACUCCGUG